RNAcentral lists this transfer RNA (96 nucleotides) under Wolfiporia cocos MD-104 SS10. RNAcentral describes it as "tRNA-Val". The record is from RNAcentral. Lineage: Eukaryota; Fungi; Basidiomycota; Agaricomycetes; Polyporales; Phaeolaceae.
GGGUCGGUGGCGUAGUUGGUUAUCGCAUCUGUCUAACAUUCUAAUGGGGGUACAUAAUUUCACAGAAGGUCCUCAGUUCGAACCUGGGCCGACUCA